Molecule: long non-coding RNA, 577 nt
Organism: Homo sapiens (human)
Lineage: Eukaryota; Metazoa; Chordata; Mammalia; Primates; Hominidae
Source: Ensembl
AUUACUGGGGCCCGGACACAUUAUUUUCUCCAAGGAAUUUCUUCUUUUCAUUAUUUCCCUCCAAAGUUCUAGAGGCCAGAACCAAAAUCAAGAUGCUGGAAGAGCUGUGCUUUGUCCAAAGGGCCCAGGGAGGACGCUUUCUGGCCUCUGCCAGCUUACGAUGACUCCAGGCAUUCCUUGGCUUGUGGCCACAUCACUCUAGUUCCACCUCCAUCUUUGUGUAGCUUUCUCAUGGGGAGCUUCACUGAUCCUGAGCCCAGGAUGAGGCACUUUGUGUUCAUCAUCCCUAGGAAUCACUGAAGACAGCUAUGAGCCAGGUGGUGCGGUGCCCGUUGCACAGAGGAGGAGAGCGAGGCCCAUGUCCUGUCCUCGUGGGGUGCUCAGCUGCAGCAGCCCGGAGCCCUGAGGUGGCCACGAACUCUGGCCAGGGGGUGGCAGGGGCACUGUAUGCGUUGUAGGGCCUGUUUGGGAAGACAUUGAAGAGUAGGCGCCGAUGGGGACACUGAGCCUCAGAGAGAAGAACGAUGUGGCCAGGGUCCCGCAGCGAGGAUGCGGCAGAAUCAGGAUUGGAACCCAG